UACGUAGGGAGCAAGCGUUGUCCGGAAUCAUUGGGCGUAAAGCGCGUGUAGGCGGCCCGAUAAGUCCGCUGUGAAAGUCCAGGGCUCAACCCUGGGAUGCCGGUGGAUACUGUCGGGCUCGAGUCCGGAAGAGGAGUGUGGAAUUCCUGGUGUAGCGGUGAAAUGCGCAGAUAUCAGGAGGAACACCAAUGGCGAAGGCAGCACUCUGGGACGUGACUGACGCUGAGACGCGAAAGCGUGGGGAGCAAACAGG
RNAcentral lists this ribosomal RNA (253 nucleotides) under uncultured bacterium. RNAcentral describes it as "partial 16S ribosomal RNA". It matches the Rfam family "Bacterial small subunit ribosomal RNA", at positions 524 to 776 of the family's 1533-position model. The record is from RNAcentral.